AUGGAUUACCAAGGGAGCAAUGUUAGGGAUUUCCUUCAUGUUAAUGGACAAGUGGUGCUAGAAAGAGUGAAUACCAACUAUAAUCUAAGAUCUUUCACUCAAAAAGAGAUAGAAGACAUUACUGGUGGGUAUAGCACUGUGCUGGGAGAAGGGGGAUUUGGUAAGGUUUACAAAGGAAAAUUAGAUGGUCUUCGUCCAGUUGCAGUAAAGAGAUACAAAAAUGGAACCAAGAAAGAAGAGUUCGCCAAAGAGGUGAUAGUGCAUUCCCAGAUAAAUCACAAGAAUGUUGUCAGACUGUUUGGUUGCUGCACGGAGGAAAAUGCUCUUACUAUUGUUAUGGAGUUUGCAUGCAAUGGCAAUCUCUACAAUAUCCUUCACUGCAGCAGAAGCGAUGCUAAUGGUUUUGUCCCCUUCCCUUUGGACAAACGUUUGGACAUCGCCAUUGAGUCAGCUGAAGUAUUAUCAUGCAUGCAUUCAAUGUAUAGUCCCGUUCUUCAUGGUGACAUCAAACCCGCUAAUAUACUGCUAGAUGAAAAUUUUCGGCCAAAGAUAUCAGAUUUUGGGAUAUCAAGGUUCCUUUCUGCUGAUGAGACUCAGCAUACCAGACAUGUCAUUGGAUGCAUAGGUUAUAUGGACCCUUUGUUCUGUCAGAGUGGGAUUCUAACUUCGAAGAGUGAUGUAUAUAGUUUUGGAGUCGUUUUGCUGGAAAUCAUCACCCGAAAGAAAGCCGUUGACGGGAAUGUCAUUCUUGCUCAGAGUUUUGUUGAAUCCCUGAGAAAAGGGAAAAAGGUGAGACUAAUGUUUGAUGAAGAAAUUGCCAACGAUAAAAAGAACAUCAAAUUUCUUGAAGAUGUCGCAAAGCUAGUAGCUGAAUGCUUGAAAAUGGAGGCCAAAAUGCGUCCAGAAAUGGUUGAGGUGGCGGACAGGCUUAGGACGAUUAGAAAAGCUUACCGCCAGCGGAAGGGCAGAAAUUCUACAGGUAGCAACUCUGGACUUAUUAAAAGUGGAAAGGCACAGGAUAUGCUUUCCCCUACCCCUGUUACCGCUGCUACUGCCAAGAACACUGACAAAAUUCCAUCAUAUGUGGUACCGACCAUUUCCAUGGAUGAACUGAAGAAAAUAACCAGGAACUUUAGCAAUGAUGCUGUAAUAGGGGGCUUAUCCAGUGGUUGUUUCUUCGGGGUGCUGAACAAUGGAAAUAAAUCCGCGAUCAAGAUACUCAGUACUGAAGAAGUUACUUUGGAGAUUCCAGUGGUCUCAAGAUUCAGACAUGAGAAUAUUCUCCAGCUUCUCGGAUACUGUGUUGAAGGAGACAACUUUCUUCUUGCUUAUGAGUAUGCAUCCAGGGGAUCCUUGCAUGAUAUUCUUCAUGGUAAAAAGAAUGUUACGGGGGCUGAACCAGGACUCGUUCUAUCAUGGACGCAACGCGUGAAGAUUGCCCUGGGUGCUGCAAGUGGGCUCGAGUGCCUCCACGAGAAAACAGAACCUUGCAUUAUCCACAGUUGCAUCAAGGCCAGCAACAUAUUUCUCUUUGACAGUGACGUUGCGAAGAUUGGUUACCCUGGUUUUUCCAGACACCCUCACUACAUAGACAAUAUUCUUUUGGACCGUCCAGAUUGUCCUGGAGGAAAAUAUUAUCCUCCCAGUUCCGCUUAUGAUGCGCCUGAGUAUGCAAUGUACGGAGAGUUUUCUACAAUGAGUGAUGUCUACAGUUUCGGGGUUGUUGUGCUGGAACUCUUGACCGGUCGGAAGGCAUUUGAUCCCUCACUAUCCCGUGGCCAACAAUGCCUCGUGACAUGGGCUCGACCAAGACUUGAUGAAUCCAAGGUGCACCAAUGCGUGGAUCCGAGACUUGGUGGAGAUUUCCCUCCCAAGGCUGCCGCCAAGAUGGCUGCAGUGGCAGCGCUCUGUACACAGCAUGAGAAGGAACACCGGCCAAAAAUAAGUAUCAUGGUCAAGGCUCUGAGGCCGUUGCUGGUCAGCAAGUAA
RNAcentral lists this ribosomal RNA (1989 nucleotides) under Triticum aestivum (bread wheat). Its description in RNAcentral is "partial small subunit ribosomal RNA". The record is from RNAcentral. Lineage: Eukaryota; Viridiplantae; Streptophyta; Magnoliopsida; Poales; Poaceae.